Mustela lutreola (European mink) is the source of this 317-nucleotide long non-coding RNA. RefSeq lists it as uncharacterized. The record is from RefSeq and is a predicted model, not a curated record. NCBI's taxonomy places the organism in Eukaryota, Metazoa, Chordata, Mammalia, Carnivora, Mustelidae. The transcript has 3 exons.
GGAUGAUGAAUUGAGGAGAAGUACCUCUAAUUUUUGCUCUCCUUCUGGAAUCUUUCUACUCAAAACUACUCAGACAAGAGUAAGAUACAAUAAAGAAGAAAAAUAUUUUCUUCUUGUGAUAAGAACUGUCAGGAUUUACUCUCUUCACAACUUUCCUGGACUUCAUACAGCAGAGUUAGCCAUAGUCAUCAUGAUGCUGUAUGUGACCUUUCUACAAGGUGGAUGAGAAGUGCCCUGUGACCUUGUGUUGGGGAAAUAUAAAUGAAAACAAAAUCUCCUCCCAACCCAGGAAACUUCUCCAUGAAGGUAGAAGAGGA